This 497-nucleotide ribosomal RNA is filed under the name uncultured bacterium. RNAcentral describes it as "partial 16S ribosomal RNA". It matches the Rfam family "Bacterial small subunit ribosomal RNA", at positions 28 to 507 of the family's 1533-position model. The record is from RNAcentral.
GAUGAACGCUGGCGGCGUGCCUAAUACAUGCAAGUCGAGCGAACAGACGAGGAGCUUGCUCCUCUGACGUUAGCGGCGGACGGGUGAGUAACACGUGGAUAACCUACCUAUAAGACUGGGAUAACUUCGGGAAACCGGAGCUAAUACCGGAGAAUAUAUUGAACCGCAUGGUUCAAUAGUGAAAGACGGUUUUGCUGGCCCUUAUAGAUGGAUCCGCGCCGCAUUAGCUAGUUGGUAAGGUAAAGGCUUACCAAGGCAACGAUGCGUAGCCGACCUGAGAGGGUGAUCGGCCACACUGGAACUGAGACACGGUCCAGACUCCUACGGGAGGCAGCAGUAGGGAAUCUUCCGCAAUGGGCGAAAGCCUGACGGAGCAACGCCGCGUGAGUGAUGAAGGUCUUCGGAUCGUAAAACUCUGUUAUUAGGGAAGAACAAAUGUGUAAGUAACUAUGCACGUCUUGACGGUACCUAAUCAGAAAGCCACGGCUAACUACGUG